AAAUCUCUGUUUAGCAAUGAAAUCAUUUGUGCUUACCUUUUUUGGCUGCAAUUUUCAUGCAAAUCUAUCGAGAGCGAGCUGCAAAGAGAAAGGUGUUGUCUAGUACGACGGCUCGCGAAAUUAGUAUGCAACGCAUGCUGGACAGUGUUUGUUGAUGAUCGGCCAGGCAACUGAUUGGAUAUGCAUUUAGGCAAUGAUUUAUACACACACAGGCAGAACGGAACAGCAGCUGGCCAGAGAUGAUUGCCAAAUGUAUCAUCCAGCUUGCAGAGCAGCUAGCUCAAGUUUUUGCAAUUCAAUCAGAUGACAUUGGCUCAGUCAACGGAACCAGACGUCAUUUGAAAUACAAAUCGCUACACGUAGCACAUCAGGUUUCGCCAUGGCCACCGCACUCUAACAUACUCGGACAGACAGUUCGCUUCUCAGUCUGUCUGCUAGUCACUUAAAGCUGUAGAAUUUCUAAACUGGUUGAGCAACACAAAAGGCCGCCGGACCGAGCGUUCAUUAUACUAACUGCAACUCGGUGGUGUGGUGGUGCGAUGGUGCAAUGGUCAGCUGCAAUGGUGCAGCUCCGGAUAACAAUUUGCGUGUGUUAAUUGAGACUAAACAGCAGUCGGUAGAGGCGAGUAGAGGUAGAGGCGGCCCUAACGCUUUGAUUAAUUAUGGACGGCCUGUCAUAAUUUACAUUGCAACGAAAGUGAUGGACACAGCUCCGGAGCUCCACAGCUCCACGGACUGACAGCUCCCACUGUUAAUUUGCUGUAAUUGCGCUGCCUAGGCAAAUGCAUGCAACGGGGUGACAUAUGCUGCCGCAUGGCAUGCAAGAAUUCAAUUAGGCGUUGAGAAAUACAUAUACAUACAUAUAUAUAUCUAUGAAUAUAUCUGUUGCACAAUGCUUUCAGUUUGUCUCACAGAAAAUGAAAGCUGCUUCGUUUUCCCAUUGUUAUUGUAACCCACAAAAAUUGUGGCGUGGCACUUGAGGCGUUUGGCCAAGCAGUUGACAAAUCAUCAUCAGAUUUACUUUUCAAGAAUUAAUUCGCCAGCGCUGCGAAUAACGCCAACUCAUGGCCUAAUCAAAAGUAAGAGUAAAGCAACUGUUAAUAACCAGCCAGCGUCGAGCAUCAUCGUAAACAAACGCAAACACAACAAAUAUAAAUACAAUCAACAAUGAAAACAAA
Long non-coding RNA from Drosophila mojavensis, 1178 nucleotides. RefSeq lists it as uncharacterized. The record is from RefSeq and is a predicted model, not a curated record. The transcript is spliced from 3 exons. NCBI's taxonomy places the organism in Eukaryota, Metazoa, Arthropoda, Insecta, Diptera, Drosophilidae.